AACGAACGCUGGCGGCAUGCCUAACACAUGCAAGUCGAACGAAGGCUUCGGCCUUAGUGGCGCACGGGUGCGUAACGCGUGGGAAUCUGCCCUUGGGUUCGGAAUAACUCAGAGAAAUUUGAGCUAAUACCGGAUGAUGUCGCAAGACCAAAGAUUUAUCGCCCAAGGAUGAGCCCGCGUAGGAUUAGCUUGUUGGUGAGGUAAAAGCUCACCAAGGCGACGAUCCUUAGCUGGUCUGAGAGGAUGAUCAGCCACACUGGGACUGAGACACGGCCCAGACUCCUACGGGAGGCAGCAGUGGGGAAUAUUGGACAAUGGGCGAAAGCCUGAUCCAGCAAUGCCGCGUGAGUGAUGAAGGCCUUAGGGUUGUAAAGCUCUUUUACCCGGGAUGAUAAUGACAGUACCGGGAGAAUAAGCUCCGGCUAACUCCGUGCCAGCAGCCGCCGUAA
RNAcentral lists this ribosomal RNA (449 nucleotides) under uncultured bacterium. RNAcentral's name for it is "partial 16S ribosomal RNA". It matches the Rfam family "Bacterial small subunit ribosomal RNA", at positions 29 to 523 of the family's 1533-position model. The record is from RNAcentral.